RNAcentral lists this ribosomal RNA (269 nucleotides) under uncultured prokaryote. Its description in RNAcentral is "partial 16S ribosomal RNA". It matches the Rfam family "Bacterial small subunit ribosomal RNA", at positions 524 to 792 of the family's 1533-position model. The record is from RNAcentral.
UACGAAGGGUGCAAGCGUUACUCGGAAUUACUGGGCGUAAAGCGUGCGUAGGUGGUUCGUUAAGUCUGAUGUGAAAGCCCUGGGCUCAACCUGGGAAUUGCAUUGGAUACUGGCGGGCUGGAGUACGGUAGAGGGUGGCGGAAUUCCUGGUGUAGCAGUGAAAUGCGUAGAUAUCAGGAGGAACAUCCGUGGCGAAGGCGGCCACCUGGACCAGUACUGACACUGAGGAGCGAAAGCAUGGGUAGCGAACAGGAUUAGAUACCCGGGUA